ACAGCCCAGCGCAUAACCUCCCGGGCUACCAAGCCUGCGGCGGCAUGUUGCGUUAAAGGAAAGGUCGUUACAAAGCUCGGCACAAUGUAUUCCUAAGUUUCGACUUGAAUAUUCCACUGUUUCUUAACGGAAACUACGGCUCCAUGGAGGGUGAAAGACCCGUGUGGGUACGUGGAUAAGUGCAUGAGUUCGGCUUUUUUCCUUGAGAGUCGCGUUGCUUGAGAAUGCAGCGCUAAGCAGGUCGUAAACUCGACCUAAGGCUAAAUAUUUCCACAGAACCGAUAUUAAACAAGUACCGCGAGGGAAAGUUGAAAAGUACUCUGAAGAGAGAGUUAAAAGACCGUGAAACCGUACAGAGUAUAAGCUAAUGGUUAUUUGGAAGGCAGGCACAGGCAUUUUCAUUAGGCUGAAAGUUCGAAGCUAUCGUGCAUGUGUUUCCGGGAGUGGAAAAAACAGUGGCCUUAAGUUGAUAUCACUCCUAGGAUAACUCGCGGGUCUCUGACAGUGGUAACUGGUAAGGUUCUAAUGAGGAACCGAACCUAGGCUGGGCUUGUGCGAGCACCGGUUUCUAGUCAUGCGUAAACGAGUUGUGUUAAUACAGCCCACCACUCUCUUUGUAAGGUCACCCGUGUGAGACUUGCCAGUGUGUUUUCGUGGCGGACUCUCUGGUUUCAAAUACUUUGUUGGUAUUGUCCGGCCGAAUUCCGCAUGUCCCAGAACGCACGUUUGGUAUGAUCCUAUGCGAAGUUUGCUUUCUGGCCACCCUAAGAUCUGGAUGAUGCCCAAAUUGACGGGGAGACCUAAGCGCGGGUAGUGUAACGUGAUGACCCCGCUGAUCAGGGGGUGAUGGUGAAAUAUUUCCGGAGCCAUUAGUCACGUCUCGAAACACGGGCCAAGGAGCAUAGCAUGUGCGCAAGUCUAAGGGUCUUACAAAACCUAGAGGCGAAGUGAAAGCAAAUGGUGUGUGUGUCUCUCUUGCUUCGGCAAGGGGCAUGCAGCUUGUGACUAACGUAAUUCCUGCGUGGAUGAAUGCGUCUCCGGCUCUAACCGGGUUGAUCCGUUGUAAUAAAGCCAGAUGGCGAUACAAUGGCGCAAACCCCAGACUCUGUCCAGGGCAUUGUCUGUGUUUUGUUGGAGUACUGUGGAGCGUGUAUGCUAUGACCCGAAAGAUAGUGAACUAUGCCUGGCGA
This 1190-nucleotide ribosomal RNA is filed under the name Liouvillea sp. MLV-2016. Its description in RNAcentral is "eukaryotic LSU rRNA". It matches the Rfam family "Eukaryotic large subunit ribosomal RNA", at positions 104 to 843 of the family's 3401-position model. Lineage: Eukaryota; Metazoa; Arthropoda; Malacostraca; Amphipoda; Pontogeneiidae. The record is from RNAcentral.